This 109-nucleotide ribosomal RNA is filed under the name Toxocara canis (dog roundworm). Lineage: Eukaryota; Metazoa; Nematoda; Chromadorea; Rhabditida; Toxocaridae. The record is from RNAcentral.
GCUUACGGCCAUACCACGUCGAAAACACGACAUCCCUUCGAUUAAGCAACGUCGGGCCUGAUCAGUACUUGGAUUGGAGACAGCUUGGGAAUCCCAGGUGCUGUAAGCA